Long non-coding RNA from Onychostoma macrolepis, 397 nucleotides. RefSeq lists it as uncharacterized. The transcript is spliced from 4 exons. The record is from RefSeq and is a predicted model, not a curated record. Lineage: Eukaryota; Metazoa; Chordata; Actinopteri; Cypriniformes; Cyprinidae.
UUUGAUUCCCUAAAAGACACAAAGAUAGAAAGAGACACGUGUCAGAUCUGUUAAUUUUUUUUAAAAACAGCUGCAAAAGUGCGAACAUUCCGUGCGGUAGUCUUUUCAGCAUGCAAUUUUUUUUUUUCCGUCUAUGUGUAACGACUGUCAUUUGGUUCAGAAUGUCGUAUCAGCUAGAUGAAGCAGAUUCCGACUGCAGUGACAAUCAACAGAAAUACAGCAACAGAAAUCAAUGCUAUCAGAGAUCCAGCACCUGGAGAAUGUGAAGGAGGGGGUGAAGUAGACCGUGGACCUGAUGCUGUAACGGCUAAAGAGAGUUUGUAAUAUACAUAUAUGCUACUUCAGAUUAAGCUUUUGCUGUCAAAAGAUGGCACAUUUUACCAUUCACAUACCUGCA